GCGCCCGUAGCUCAAUGGAUAGAGCAUUUGACUUCGGAUCAAAGGGUUGAGGGUUCGAAUCCUUCCGGGCGUACUA
This 76-nucleotide transfer RNA is filed under the name bacterium BRH_c32. RNAcentral describes it as "tRNA-Arg". It matches the Rfam family "tRNA". From Rfam's summary of the family: Transfer RNA (tRNA) molecules are approximately 80 nucleotides in length. Their secondary structure includes four short double-helical elements and three loops (D, anti-codon, and T loops). Further hydrogen bonds mediate the characteristic L-shaped molecular structure. tRNAs have two regions of fundamental functional importance: the anti-codon, which is responsible for specific mRNA codon recognition, and the 3' end, to which the tRNAs corresponding amino acid is attached (by aminoacyl-tRNA synthetases). tRNAs cope with the degeneracy of the genetic code in two manners: having more than one tRNA (with a specific anti-codon) for a particular amino acid; and 'wobble' base-pairing, i.e. permitting non-standard base-pairing at the 3rd anti-codon position. The record is from RNAcentral.